ACCAUAAAUGUUUUCUUCCGUUCAGCUUUGGGAAAAGAGGUUGCUCAGGUCAAAUGUUUGCUAUGACCGAAAUGAAGACAAUAACUGCUACUGUAUUGAGACAAUUUAUUGUUCAAAUAGACAAACCUGUACCAGUUGAAAAUAUUAACUUAAAAUUCAAUAUUACUACGAAACCUGCUGAAACUAUAUUCUUGAGAUUUAAAAAGAGAUAAUAUUUAUCAUUGUUGUCGUCAUUAUGUUCCUAAUCAAACAAUUGUAAUAUAUAAAUAACCGUACAAAUUAAAAAUAAAUUCCUAAUACUA
This 302-nucleotide long non-coding RNA is filed under the name Polistes fuscatus (common paper wasp). RNAcentral describes it as "uncharacterized LOC122516753". The record is from RNAcentral. Lineage: Eukaryota; Metazoa; Arthropoda; Insecta; Hymenoptera; Vespidae.